Molecule: unclassified non-coding RNA, 429 nt
Filed under: soil metagenome
Description: partial contains 5.8S ribosomal RNA, internal transcribed spacer 2, and large subunit ribosomal RNA
Rfam family: 5.8S ribosomal RNA (bases 1-120)
Source: RNAcentral
GAUGAAGAACGUAGCGAAAUGCGAUACGUAAUGUGAAUUGCAGAAUUCAGUGAAUCAUCGAAUCUUUGAACGCAUAUUGCGCUCUCUGGUAUUCCGGAGAGCAUGCUUGUUUGAGUAUCAGUAAACACCUCAACUUCCAUAUCUUUUUUGAAAUGGGAGUUGGACUUGAGUGAUCCCAACGCUUUUCCUCACCGAAAAGUGGCGGGUUACUUGAAAUGCAGGUGCAGCUGGACUUUUCUCUGAGCUAUAAGCAUAUCUAUUUAGUCUGCCUAAAAAACAGAUUAUUACCUUUGCUGCAGCUAACAUAAAGGAGAUUAGUUCUUGUGCUGACUGAUGCAGGAUUCACAAAGACAGGCUUCGGCCGACUUUGUAAACUCGAUCUCAAAUCAAGUAAGACUACCCGCUGAACUUAAGCAUAUCAGCGGAGGA